GAAAUGCGAUAAGUAAUGUGAAUUGCAGAAUUCAGUGAAUCAUCGAAUCUUUGAACGCACCUUGCACCCUUUGGUAUUCCGAAGGGUACGCCCGUUUGAGCGUCAUUGUAAUCUCACUUCUACCGCUUUGUUGUAGUAGAAUGUGGACUUGGACGUCUGCCGUGUCACAGCGGCUCGUCUUAAAUGCCUGAGUGUACCCUACUUUGCGGUGUAUUCGGUGUGAUAAACAUUUCACCGGAGUUUUGGUCUCUGACCGCACUUAGCAAUUGGUGGGCUCUAUGCUUUCCAACCGUCUUUACAGACAAUCUUUGACAAUUUGACCUCAAAUCGGGCGGGACUACCCGCUGAACUUAAGCAUAUCAAUAAGCGGAGGAAAAGAAACU
Molecule: ribosomal RNA, 383 nt
Filed under: uncultured Sebacinaceae
Lineage: Eukaryota; Fungi; Basidiomycota; Agaricomycetes; Sebacinales; Sebacinaceae
Description: eukaryotic LSU rRNA
Rfam family: 5.8S ribosomal RNA (bases 1-105)
Source: RNAcentral